GACGAACGCUGGCGGCGUGGAUUAGGCAUGCAAGUCGAACGGUAUCAUCCUUUCGGGGGUGAGAGAGUGGCGAACUGGUGAGUAACACGUAGGUUAUCUACCCUCAAGACGGGACAACCCAGGGAAACUUGGGCUAAUACCGGAUGUGAGCAACCUUUAGUGUUUGAAAGGUGGCGUAAGCUGUCGCUUGGGGAUGAGCCUGCGUCCUAUUAGUUAGUUGGUGAGGUAACGGCUCACCUAGGCAAUGAUAGGUAGGCGGCCUUAACGGGUGGUCGCCCACACUGGGAUUGAGAUACGGCCCAGACUCCUACGGGAGGCAGCAGUCGAGAAUAGUCUACAAUGGUCGGAAGACUGAUAGUGCGACGCCGCGUGAACGAUGAAUCCCUUCGGGGUGUAAAGUUCUUUUAUAUGUGAGCAGUGCUUCUUAUAUUAACAGUAUGGGGAGAGAGAUAUUAGCAUAUGAAUAAGCAACGGCUAACUCCGUG
This 485-nucleotide ribosomal RNA is filed under the name uncultured bacterium. RNAcentral's name for it is "bacterial SSU rRNA". It matches the Rfam family "Bacterial small subunit ribosomal RNA", at positions 28 to 507 of the family's 1533-position model. The record is from RNAcentral.